This is a long non-coding RNA of Astatotilapia calliptera (eastern happy), 1160 nucleotides long. The record is from Ensembl. Lineage: Eukaryota; Metazoa; Chordata; Actinopteri; Cichliformes; Cichlidae.
GGCCUCUCUGCAGCUGUUAGCCAUUCCCAGGCUGGGAGAGAAGGUGAGCACAGAUAAGAGGUCUUUAUCUGGGCCCCAAAGGAAGGCAGGUUAAGUUUAAGGUGAAGGUUUGACAUGGCCGCCGUCUGCUUGCGCUGGCUGUUUCCUCCCACCUCCUCCACCUCCUGAUGUGAGGCUCAGGCUCAGUCCCCAAUCCCCAUGUCCCUGGGCUCAUUCUUGAUGGCCCCUACUGCUUCAGCUUUAAUGAGAAAGAUGAAAGAAAUGCAGGCUGGGAGAAUACCCAACCCUCCUCCCCUCAUCUCCUUCUACCACCCCAUUCACUUUGCUCCUCGUCCCAUUUGUUCAGUACAACCUCGCUCUCACUGGCCCUCCAGCAUUAACUCAUCUAAGACUUUUUACUGGGGUGGGGGAGUUUUACUGUGAUAAAUCAGUAACAAGGGUAGUUUCUUUUAAAAUUUCAGGUAUUAUUCCCUCUGAUCUUACGUGCAAAUUUCUUUCCAGCCUUUAUUUCUCGUGCCCUGGCUCUUUGGUUCUGCUGUGGACAUGUUUUAAUCAUAAAGCAAUGGAAAAGUGGCUCUACUACUUUUUAAUUUUUUUUUUAUUUUUGGUUACAAGAUCGUUUUUUGGGAUUUCAGGGUUUUCUAAAUGUCCCUACAUUAAAAAUAAUCAGUAUACUCUGGAAUUAAUAUAUAUAUAUAUAUAUUUAUUAAUGACAGAACAUGUUUUUUUAUUAAACCACUCCAUUUUUCCAUUUUCAAAAUCAAAGAUAAGAUCCAAAUCUAGAUCAAAUCAUCAGAGUUCACCACAGGUGAACUCACAGCAUGACCUUUACCUGAAAAGGAGCAUUAUCAGUGAUGAUCUUCAUGUGACUAACAUUAAAGAAGCCAGACUAAUGAUGAAAAGAGUCCUCAGUCUACUGUCGACAUUACUCUUUAUCUCUGAGUCCAGCGUUGCACCUAAAGCACUGAUUCUGAACAAUGUGGCUGUGUUGACAGCACCUAAACAACAGUUCAGCCCCAGAAGGCACAGAAAGAUCACACCUCAAAAGAUGGGUGUGUUGUCCAAAAUUAAAAAAAAAAAAAAAAAAGAUAAAAAUAAAAUAAUGUAUACAGUCUUUUUGCAGCUGGGUCCAGUGUGUUCACCAUCAGUUAGUGUAAUUC